UAACGUGGACCCGUGAUCCGGGUUGCGGACAGUGUCUGGUGGGUAGUUUGACUGGGGCGGUCUCCUCCUAAAGAGUAACGGAGGAGCACGAAGGUUGGCUAAUCCUGGUCGGACAUCAGGAGGUUAGUGCAAUGGCAUAAGCCAGCUUGACUGCGAGCGUGACGGCGCGAGCAGGUGCGAAAGCAGGUCAUAGUGAUCCGGUGGUUCUGAAUGGAAGGGCCAUCGCUCAACGGAUAAAAGGUACUCCGGGGAUAACAGGCUGAUACCGCCCAAGAGUUCAUAUCGACGGCGGUGUUUGGCACCUCGAUGUCGGCUCAUCACAUCCUGGGGCUGAAGUAGGUCCCAAGGGUAUGGCUGUUCGCCAUUUAAAGUGGUACGCGAGCUGGGUUUAGAACGUCGUGAGACAGUUCGGUCCCUAUCUGCCGUGGGCGCUGGAGAACUGAGGGGGGCUGCUCCUAGUACGAGAGGACCGGAGUGGACGCAUCACUGGUGUUCGGGUUGUCAUGCCAAUGGCACUGCCCGGUAGCUAAAUGCGGAAGAGAUAAGUGCUGAAAGCAUCUAAGCACGAAACUUGCCCCGAGAUGAGUUCUCCCUGAGACUUUAGGUCUCCUGAAGGAACGUUGAAGACGACGACGUUGAUAGGCCGGGUGUGUAAGCGCAGCGAUGCGUUGAGCUAACCGGUACUAAUGAACCGUGAGGCUUAACCUUACA
RNAcentral lists this ribosomal RNA (711 nucleotides) under Salmonella enterica subsp. enterica serovar Montevideo. RNAcentral describes it as "partial 23S ribosomal RNA". It matches the Rfam family "Bacterial large subunit ribosomal RNA", at positions 2223 to 2925 of the family's 2925-position model. The record is from RNAcentral. Lineage: Bacteria; Pseudomonadati; Pseudomonadota; Gammaproteobacteria; Enterobacterales; Enterobacteriaceae.